This 73-nucleotide small RNA is filed under the name Xanthomonas campestris. Its description in RNAcentral is "sRNA sX9". It matches the Rfam family "Xanthomonas sRNA sX9". The record is from RNAcentral. RNAcentral also lists the same sequence under 1 other name. Lineage: Bacteria; Pseudomonadati; Pseudomonadota; Gammaproteobacteria; Lysobacterales; Lysobacteraceae.
AGGCACCCCGUGCACUCCGGUUCCUCCGUGCCGUCCGCCCCGCCUGACGGGUGCUAAGCGACGUUUCGCAGCC